AGGGUUUGAUCAUGGCUCAGAUUGAACGCUGGCGGCAGGCCUAACACAUGCAAGUCGAGCGGUAACAGGGGAAGCUUGCUUCCCGCUGACGAGCGGCGGACGGGUGAGUAACGCGUAGGAAUCUACCCAGUAGCGGGGGAUAAGCCAGAGAAAUUUGGUCUAAUACCGCAUACGCCCUUCGGGGGAAAGCAGGGGAUCUUCGGACCUUGCACUAUUGGAUGAGCCUGCGUGAGAUUAGCUAGUUGGUGAGGUAAUGGCUCACCAAGGCGACGAUCCCUAGCUGUUCUGAGAGGAAGAUCAGCCACACUGGGACUGAGACACGGCCCAGACUCCUACGGGAGGCAGCAGUGGGGAAUAUUGCACAAUGGGGGAAACCCUGAUGCAGCCAUGCCGCGUGUGUGAAGAAGGCCUUCGGGUUGUAAAGCACUUUCAGUUGUGAGGAAAAGUUAGUAGUUAAUACCUGCUAGCCGUGACGUUAACAACAGAAGAAGCACCGGCUAACUCCGUGCCAGCCGCCGCGGUAAUAC
This 527-nucleotide ribosomal RNA is filed under the name uncultured bacterium. RNAcentral's name for it is "bacterial SSU rRNA". It matches the Rfam family "Bacterial small subunit ribosomal RNA", at positions 8 to 526 of the family's 1533-position model. The record is from RNAcentral.